UUCCGGUUGAUCCUGCCAGAGGUUACUGCUAUCGAGGUUCGACUAAGCCAUGCGAGUCGAAUGUAGCAAUACAUGGCGUACUGCUCAGUAACACGUGGACAACCUACCCUUGGGACGGGGAUAAACCCGGGAAACUGGGUAUAAUACCCGAUAGUCCUCGACUGCUGGAAUGCAUCGAGGUCGAAAGCUCCGGUGCCCAAGGAUGGGUCUGCGGCCUAUCAGGUAGUAGUGGGUGUAGCGUACCUACUAGCCUACGACGGGUACGGGUUGUGAGAGCAAGAGCCCGGAGAUGGAUUCUGAGACACGAAUCCAGGCCCUACGGGGUGCAGCAGGCGCGAAAACUUUACAAUGCUGGAAACAGCG
RNAcentral lists this ribosomal RNA (363 nucleotides) under uncultured archaeon. Its description in RNAcentral is "bacterial SSU rRNA". It matches the Rfam family "Archaeal small subunit ribosomal RNA", at positions 1 to 369 of the family's 1478-position model. The record is from RNAcentral.